UACGAAGGGGGCUAGCGUUGCUCGGAAUCACUGGGCGUAAAGCGCACGUAGGCGGCUUGUUAAGUCAGGGGUGAAAUCCUGGAGCUCAACUCCAGAACUGCCUUUGAUACUGGCGAGCUUGAGUCCGGGAGAGGUGAGUGGAACUGCGAGUGUAGAGGUGAAAUUCGUAGAUAUUCGCAAGAACACCAGUGGCGAAGGCGGCUCACUGGCCCGGUACUGACGCUGAGGUGCGAAGGCCAGGGGAGCAAACGGG
Molecule: ribosomal RNA, 253 nt
Filed under: uncultured bacterium
Lineage: Bacteria
Description: partial 16S ribosomal RNA
Rfam family: Bacterial small subunit ribosomal RNA
Source: RNAcentral